Molecule: small nuclear RNA, 19 nt
Filed under: Arabidopsis thaliana (thale cress)
Lineage: Eukaryota; Viridiplantae; Streptophyta; Magnoliopsida; Brassicales; Brassicaceae
Description: snRNA_04021
Source: RNAcentral
CCUGAGCUUCCUUCAUGUU